Molecule: ribosomal RNA, 383 nt
Filed under: uncultured bacterium
Lineage: Bacteria
Description: bacterial SSU rRNA
Rfam family: Bacterial small subunit ribosomal RNA
Source: RNAcentral
GACGAACGCUGGCGGCGUGCUUAACACAUGCAAGUCGAGCGGUAAGGCCCUUUCGGGGGUACACGAGCGGCGAACGGGUGAGUAACACGUGGGUGACCUGCCCUCAGCUCUGGGAUAAGCCUGGGAAACCGGGUCUAAUACUGGAUAUGACUCCAUGACGCAUGUUGUGGGGUGGAAAGCCUUGUGCGGCUGAGGAUGGGCCCGCGGCCUAUCAGCUUGUUGGUGGGGUGANGGCCUACCAAGGCGACGACGGGUAGCCGGCCUGAGAGGGCGACCGGCCACACUGGGACUGAGACACGGCCCAGACUCCUACGGGAGGCAGCAGUGGGGAAUCUUGCGCAAUGGGCGAAAGACCUCGACGCAGCGACGCCGCGUGAGGGAGU